This 70-nucleotide transfer RNA is filed under the name Bos taurus (domestic cattle). RNAcentral describes it as "tdbR00000463". It matches the Rfam family "tRNA". From Rfam's summary of the family: Transfer RNA (tRNA) molecules are approximately 80 nucleotides in length. Their secondary structure includes four short double-helical elements and three loops (D, anti-codon, and T loops). Further hydrogen bonds mediate the characteristic L-shaped molecular structure. tRNAs have two regions of fundamental functional importance: the anti-codon, which is responsible for specific mRNA codon recognition, and the 3' end, to which the tRNAs corresponding amino acid is attached (by aminoacyl-tRNA synthetases). tRNAs cope with the degeneracy of the genetic code in two manners: having more than one tRNA (with a specific anti-codon) for a particular amino acid; and 'wobble' base-pairing, i.e. permitting non-standard base-pairing at the 3rd anti-codon position. Lineage: Eukaryota; Metazoa; Chordata; Mammalia; Artiodactyla; Bovidae. The record is from RNAcentral.
CAAGAUAUAGCUUAAACAAAGCAUCCAGUUUACACCUAGAAGACUUCAUUCAUUAUGAAUAUCUUGACCA